This 30-nucleotide non-coding RNA is filed under the name Homo sapiens (human). Lineage: Eukaryota; Metazoa; Chordata; Mammalia; Primates; Hominidae. The record is from RNAcentral.
ACUUGGAAGAUUCAAGUGCACAGUUUGACU